GACGAACGCUGGCGGCGUGCUUAACACAUGCAAGUCGAACGGAAAGGCCCUGCUUUUGUGGGGUGCUCGAGUGGCGAACGGGUGAGUAACACGUGAGUAACCUGCCCUUGACUUUGGUAUAACUUCAGGAAACUGGGGCUAAUACCGGAUAGGAGCUCCUGCUGCAUGGUGGGGGUUGGAAAGUUUCGGCGGUUGGGGAUGGACUCGCGGCUUAUCAGCUUGUUGGUGGGGUAGUGGCUUACCAAGGCUUUGACGGGUAGCCGGCCUGAGAGGGUGACCGGCCACAUUGGGACUGAGAUACGGCACAGACUCAUACGGGAGGCAGCAGUGGGGAAUAUUGCAAAAUGGGCGGAAGCAUGAUGCAGCAAAGCCGCGUGCGGGAUGACGGCCUUCGGGUUGUAAACCGCUUUCGCCUGUGACGAAGCGUGAGUGACGGUAAUGGGUAAAGAAGCACCGGCUAACUACGUG
This 468-nucleotide ribosomal RNA is filed under the name uncultured bacterium. RNAcentral's name for it is "partial 16S ribosomal RNA". It matches the Rfam family "Bacterial small subunit ribosomal RNA", at positions 28 to 507 of the family's 1533-position model. The record is from RNAcentral.